AGCUGGCUGCAUCUGAAACAAGAGGAGAGAUGGGUAGGAGACGGGGGCAUCCAGGGCCCAGAUACAUCAAACGCAGCCCUGAUCUCUGUGCACACAAGCCACUGGGGUUGCAACAAGGGCAUCAACGUCUCUAAAGGCAGAGACAGGGGUCUGAGUGAACCUAGCUCUGCCCUAACUUGAGGUGACUGACCUAGCCCUAUGCAUUGAGGAUGAGUCUCCUUACCUUCAAAAUGGCCCUGAUAACCUCUCUUGAGGGUUGUUAUGAGGCUUGAGUGAGAUAGGAGUGUACAGCAGUUCCAGCACAGGCCUCUCCCACAACAGAUGAGUGAUUUGCUGCAAGGAUACAGGGAGAGACAAGCUAACUCUAAUGGUGGGGUGAUGUCAAGGGAGGUUUGGUGGGGAGCAACCCUGAGCUGGGCUUUGAAGGAUGGAGGCUGGUAAAGGAGGAGCUAUUCCAGGCAAAAGCAGCUGGGAUAGGCCUGCUUGGAGGUGGGGUGCUGGAGACAGGGGUGCCCAGCCUGUUCACAAUAAGAAGUAACCACGGUAAAGAUACAAAUAGUGUCCUGGGACAGAAGCCAAGCCACCUUGUUAUCUACUUUACCAGCUAAGCCCAGAGAGGGUGGAGCAGGCUCAAGGUCGGCUGCGGAGAUCCUGGCCUCAGCUUCCCAGCAGAGGGCUCUUCUGCAGAAAGUGAUCCCAGGAUAGGGGGCUGCCAUGGGAGUCAGGGAUUUGCACCCCAAAUUUCAGGUGGUAUCUGAGCUCUGUGUGUCCUUCCUACCCACCUCUCAGACAAGGUCUCCAAGCACAGAAGCUGAGCUAUUCCGGGUGGCCUGGAAGGAAGUAUCAGAACCAGGUGCUACUUACAUCUGAUAAACUCAAGUGGUGGACAGAACAGAGAGGGCCUCCUCCAAGGUGACUUGCUAAGUCCUCCCCUAACGACGAAAUAGAGAAGCUUCCUGCCCCUGUUACACAUGGCCUCCUCCCGGGCCCAGCAGCUCACCUGGACCACGGAAAGCACAGAAAGAACUGGCUGAAUGAAUCAAGAGAUCAAGUGUUCUCCCUGAGGCCCUGUAACAGCUCUGCAGCUGACUGCCCAGAAGGAAGCAGAAGUGAGUGACAAGUUGGGGGAACCAGAGCUUGCACACCAUAGGCCUGAACACUAGCCUCUGGGGAAAGGCAAGUCCAGCUGACCUUGGUGAAGUUAGGACCCGGGCCGAGGCCACCUCUUCUGGUUCACCCUCUGCUGGCCUCCCAGCUUCUUUGGCUCAGCAACACCCAGGAUUCCAGGCAUGUUUGCCUCUGGCCUUCUAAAAAUACCCAGGCCACCCAGCACCUCCCAGAUGUCUGAGCGCUGAGUCUGUGAUUUCCCUGCCGGUAAUGGGACAGCCCCGGGGUGGGCAGGCGGGGGUGGCUCGAGCAGCUCAAGCCACUUCCUCUGCCUCCCAUCCCCUAGCCUACCAGAAGCUGGACCCAGCCCUGCCUCCCAAUCCUUGCAAGGCAAAGGAGGGUAGAGGCUAGCAGACCUCAGAGAUUGUUGACUCCAGUCUCUUCUUGGGACAGAUGGGAGAUCUGAAGUCUAAGGAUUGCUCAUGGCACUUGUGCCAUUAAGGUCCUCCUCACCCCACUCCCCAGCACUGUGUUCAUGCCUGCUGCUGUCUCACUUCCCACAUGCUACUUGGAGUCUAGGUCUUGGAGCCCAACCUGACUUCCUCCAUGCAGCUGAAAGCUCCUGACAGCAGUGAAGGGGAGGAUCCCUGUGGUCUCCAUGGUGCCUGGAAGAGUGUCCAAUCCAGAGCACACCAUCAGUAAACGUAGAUUGGAUUGAACAAUGUAGUGGCAGCUGGGGCAAUGGGUGGAGCACUGGGCUGGAGGACAAAGCCUCUGAAUUCUAUCUAGCCCAGGGUCAGCCACUGUGAUACUAUGCAUCCUCAUCAAUUGCCCUGGACAAACCUGUUUCUCCUGGGCUGGAUAGGAUGGUGUCUAAGGACUGAGCCAGCUCUGCUGAUAUGAAGCUGCAAGCUGAUGCCCUGCUGGAUAUUCCUGUCCCUUCUCUGCUCUACUGUAUGUCUGGGAGAGAUGGCACAACCUGUAGGUUCCAUCAGCUCCAGGUUCUCAGCUUCUGCUCCUCCCUCCGUGCUUCUGAACAUUCCACCUCUGGUCCUAGCCCCUGAGGCCCAGCUCUUCCAAUAGUGCCACUUCCACCUCUGCUGCUGGGUACACAGGGGUGAAUGCAUACCUACCUCGCUCACUAAUCAUGUGACCUUGGGUAAGGCAUUGCCCUUUUCUGGGCUUCAGUUUUAUCAUAUCUAAAAGGGAAUAAUAAGGCCUACCUUAAAGGAGUGCUAUGAGGAUGUAGGAGAUUCCAUAGCUCAGAUGUCAGGUUAUAUAUCACCUCCUGCAGAAAGUCUCCCCUGUCCUCCCAAGGAUGGCUCAGAUAGCAUUUGUUGCUGGCUCUUCAGUUCUGACCUUCCCAUGUUCACACUAUGUGGUCAUUGGCUCUCUAUGCAUCCAUCCCCCACCAAGCUGUGGGCUCCUCAAGGCCAGGAGUCUCCAGGACCCAGUACAGGACCUUUACAGAUGAAGUGCCUGGGAACGUUUUUUGACAGACACAGUGGGUGAGUAAAGCCUGAGAGAAAGGCAAGGGGUUGUGCAGAAGUCUGGGAGUCUGAGUAAGAAGUGGCCUGACUGACAGGGCAAGUUCUGGUGGUAUGAAUAUUGACAGCUGCUUGGAGCCCUUCCCCCAUUUCCCUGCUUGGUAAAUUCAUCCUUCAAGAUCCCAGGAGAGCAUCUCCUUCCCUGAGAAACCUGAUCACUCUCCCCUCUACCACAUUACACACUCCACUGUAGGUGUUCUUUACACACCUGUCUCCCUUCUCAGAUGUGAGUUCCCUGAAGGCAAGACCCUGUUGGAUCUCACAGCACCAAGCACUAGAUCUGGCAUGAGUUAGUCAAGGUUUUGGAGCAGAAGAAUGGAUGGAGGAAAUAAUUUCUGAAUCGAACUUGGAAUUGAACUGCCUGAACUUUAAUGCCCUUUCCAGCCUUAGGGAUGAUAAUGAAUUACCAAAGUGAGAAAAAUGGAGGCGCAAGCUGUUGUCAUCCUUCCAGAGGCACCCUCCAAGUGUGUGUGGGUGAAAUGUGAGCUGGAGAGAGGAUUGACAAAGAGCAGUGAAAACAUAUUCCUGGACCCCAUUCUUUUUUUUUUUUUUUUUUUUUUUGAGA
RNAcentral lists this long non-coding RNA (3219 nucleotides) under Homo sapiens (human). RNAcentral's name for it is "HSALNT0363724". Lineage: Eukaryota; Metazoa; Chordata; Mammalia; Primates; Hominidae. The record is from RNAcentral.